CCUACGGGUGGCAGCAGUGGGGAAUAUUGGACAAUGGGCGAAAGCCUGAUCCAGCCAUGCCGCGUGUGUGAAGAAGGCCUUCGGGUUGUAAAGCACUUUCAGUGGGGAAGAAAGCCUUGGGGCUAAUACCCUCGAGGAAGGACAUCACCCACAGAAGAAGCACCGGCUAACUCCGUGCCAGCAGCCGCGGUAAUACGGAGGGUGCGAGCGUUAAUCGGAAUUACUGGGCGUAAAGCGCGCGUAGGCGGUCUGAUAAGCCGGUUGUGAAAGCCCCGGGCUCAACCUGGGAACGGCAUCCGGAACUGUCAGGCUAGAGUGCAGGAGAGGAAGGUAGAAUUCCCGGUGUAGCGGUGAAAUGCGUAGAGAACGGGAGGAAUACCAGUGGCGAAGGCGGUCUUCUGGACUGACACUGACGCUGAGGUGCGAAAGCGUGGGUAGCAAACAGGAUUAGAUACCCCUGUAGUC
Molecule: ribosomal RNA, 465 nt
Filed under: Vreelandella stevensii
Lineage: Bacteria; Pseudomonadati; Pseudomonadota; Gammaproteobacteria; Oceanospirillales; Halomonadaceae
Description: partial 16S ribosomal RNA
Rfam family: Bacterial small subunit ribosomal RNA
Source: RNAcentral